AGUCUUAUAUUCAAUUAUGAUAUAAAAUUGCAAAUUUUAAGGUGGGUAAAUUUCUAAGGCUU
Molecule: transfer RNA, 62 nt
Filed under: Pieris extensa
Lineage: Eukaryota; Metazoa; Arthropoda; Insecta; Lepidoptera; Pieridae
Description: tRNA-Cys
Source: RNAcentral